RNAcentral lists this ribosomal RNA (532 nucleotides) under Staphylococcus sp. RNAcentral's name for it is "bacterial SSU rRNA". It matches the Rfam family "Bacterial small subunit ribosomal RNA", at positions 125 to 644 of the family's 1533-position model. Lineage: Bacteria; Bacillati; Bacillota; Bacilli; Caryophanales; Staphylococcaceae. The record is from RNAcentral.
CCUACCUAUAAGACUGGGAUAACUUCGGGAAACCGGAGCUAAUACCGGAUAAUAUUUCGAACCGCAUGGUUCGAUAGUGAAAGAUGGUUUUGCUAUCACUUAUAGAUGGACCCGCGCCGUAUUAGCUAGUUGGUAAGGUAACGGCUUACCAAGGCGACGAUACGUAGCCGACCUGAGAGGGUGAUCGGCCACACUGGAACUGAGACACGGUCCAGACUCCUACGGGAGGCAGCAGUAGGGAAUCUUCCGCAAUGGGCGAAAGCCUGACGGAGCAACGCCGCGUGAGUGAUGAAGGUCUUCGGAUCGUAAAACUCUGUUAUUAGGGAAGAACAUACGUGUAAGUAACUAUGCACGUCUUGACGGUACCUAAUCAGAAAGCCACGGCUAACUACGUGCCAGCAGCCGCGGUAAUACGUAGGUGGCAAGCGUUAUCCGGAAUUAUUGGGCGUAAAGCGCGCGUAGGCGGUUUUUUAAGUCUGAUGUGAAAGCCCACGGCUCAACCGUGGAGGGUCAUUGGAAACUGGAAAACUUG